ACUCUAUGGUGGUGAAUUUUAUAAUGGCCAGAAGACGUAUGUGUAUGGUGAUCUCUACCGAUAUGAUGU
Non-coding RNA from Camelina sativa (false flax), 69 nucleotides. The record is from RefSeq and is a predicted model, not a curated record. Lineage: Eukaryota; Viridiplantae; Streptophyta; Magnoliopsida; Brassicales; Brassicaceae.